Molecule: ribosomal RNA, 1393 nt
Filed under: uncultured bacterium
Lineage: Bacteria
Description: 16S ribosomal RNA
Rfam family: Bacterial small subunit ribosomal RNA
Source: RNAcentral
UUCGCCCUUAGAGUUUGAUCCUGGCUCAGGACGAACGCUGGCGGCGUGCUUAACACAUGCAAGUCGAACGAGAAUCUACUGAAAGAGUCUUCGGACAAUGGAUGUAGAGGAAAGUGGCGGACGGGUGAGUAACGCGUGAGGAACCUGCCUUGAAGAGGGGGACAACAGUUGGAAACGACUGCUAAUACCGCAUGAUGCAUAGGGGUCGCAUGAUCUUUAUGCCAAAGAUUUAUCGCUUCAAGAUGGCCUCGCGUCUGAUUAGCUAGUUGGCGGGGUAACGGCCCACCAAGGCGACGAUCAGUAGCCGGACUGAGAGGUUGAACGGCCACAUUGGGACUGAGAUACGGCCCAGACUCCUACGGGAGGCAGCAGUGGGGAAUAUUGGGCAAUGGGCGCAAGCCUGACCCAGCAACGCCGCGUGAAGGAAGAAGGCUUUCGGGUUGUAAACUUCUUUUAAGAGGGAAGAGUAGAAGACGGUACCUCUAGAAUAAGCCACGGCUAACUACGUGCCAGCAGCCGCGGUAAUACGUAGGUGGCAAGCGUUGUCCGGAUUUACUGGGUGUAAAGGGCGUGCAGCCGGGUCUGCAAGUCAGAUGUGAAAUCCAUGGGCUCAACCCAUGAACUGCAUUUGAAACUGUAGAUCUUGAGUGUCGGAGGGGCAAUCGGAAUUCCUAGUGUAGCGGUGAAAUGCGUAGAUAUUAGGAGGAACACCAGUGGCGAAGGCGACUUACUGGACUGAAACUGACGUUGAGGCACGAAAGUGUGGGGAGCAAACAGGAUUAGAUACCCUGGUAGUCCACACUGUAAACGAUGAAUACUAGGUGUGCGGGGACUGACCCCCUGCGUGCCGCAGUAAACACAAUAAGUAUUCCACCUGGGGAGUACGACCGCAAGGUUGAAACUCAAAGGAAUUGACGGGGGCCCGCACAAGCAGUGGAGUAUGUGGUUUAAUUCGACGCAACGCGAAGAACCUUACCAAGUCUUGACAUCCCUUGACGAUGCUGGAAACAGUAUUUCUCUUCGGAGCAAGGAGACAGGUGGUGCAUGGUUGUCGUCAGCUCGUGUCGUGAGAUGUUGGGUUAAGUCCCGCAACGAGCGCAACCCUUAUGGUCAGUUACUACGCAAGAGGACUCUGGCCAGACUGCCGUUGACAAAACGGAGGAAGGUGGGGAUGACGUCAAAUCAUCAUGCCCUUUAUGACUUGGGCUACACACGUACUACAAUGGCGUUAAACAAAGAGAAGCAAGACCGCGAGGUGGAGCAAAACUCAGAAACAACGUCCCAGUUCGGACUGCAGGCUGCAACUCGCCUGCACGAAGUCGGAAUUGCUAGUAAUCGUGGAUCAGCAUGCCACGGUGAAUACGUUCCCGGGCCUUGUACUCACCGCCCGUCA